AACGAACGCUGGCGGCAUGCCUAACACAUGCAAGUCGAACGAGACCUUCGGGUCUAGUGGCGCACGGGUGCGUAACGCGGGGGAACCUGCCCUUAGGUUCGGAAUAACUCCCCGAAAGGGGUGCUAAUACCGGAUAAUGUCUUCGGACCAAAGAUUUAUCGCCUUUGGAUGGGCCCGCGUUGGAUUAGCUAGUUGGUAGGGUAAAAGCCUACCAAGGCGACGAUCCAUAGCUGGUCUGAGAGGAUGAUCAGCCACACUGGGACUGAGACACGGCCCAGACUCCUACGGGAGGCAGCAGUGGGGAAUAUUGGACAAUGGGCGAAAGCCUGAUCCAGCAAUGCCGCGUGAGUGAUGAAGGCCUUAGGGUUGUAAAGCUCUUUUACCCGGGAUGAUAAUGACAGUACCGGGAGAAUAAGCUCCGGCUAACUACGUG
Molecule: ribosomal RNA, 433 nt
Filed under: uncultured bacterium
Lineage: Bacteria
Description: partial 16S ribosomal RNA
Rfam family: Bacterial small subunit ribosomal RNA
Source: RNAcentral